Molecule: long non-coding RNA, 703 nt
Filed under: Gossypium barbadense (sea-island cotton)
Lineage: Eukaryota; Viridiplantae; Streptophyta; Magnoliopsida; Malvales; Malvaceae
Description: long non-coding RNA (GBAR_LNC022098)
Source: RNAcentral
UAAAAGAAAAAAAAACUAAAAAAAACCCUGUGCUAGGGUUUUAAACCCAGGCCGCCCCAACACAAUUUCGCCUCAAGCCUUGGCCCUCCGCCGGACCUCCGAUUCGAGUGCGGCUGGGCUUCAUCGGCGAAGCUUCGAAGGUAAACCCCUCACCCUUCUUUUGUAUUAUUUCUUUUUUUUAAAUGAAAUAAAAAGAAUAAAAGCCUAUAUUAAAAAAAAUGGUUCACCUUAAAAACGUAGGUGUUUCUUUCAAUUUCCUUGUGUAUUUCUCUGUGUAUUUUCAUUAAUGCAAUCUCCGUCCCUUAUUUUACAGAUUUAAUGGCUUUUUAUAGGCUGGAAAGGAAAAAAAUAAAAUAAAUAAAUCAUAUAUUUUGCUUGUUUUUCUCCUCCGGACUCUUUGAGUCCGUAUUUGCAGGUGAAAGUGGAGCAAAUGGCGCGCGUGGGGUGGUCGACUCCGUGACGUGCGGCGCCUGGGAACUGCUGGCGGCGUCGGGGCAGACAUGCGGCUAGGGUUCCUUUUGUUUUUUGUUUUGCUUUGGGCCAGGGCUAUUUUGGGCCACUUAUUUGUUGGGUUAAUACUAUUUUCUUUUUUUGUUUUUAAACCCAGGCCGGUUGGGCCUUAUUACAUACAUUACGUAACUCACCACUGUUUUUAUCACAUAGCACUUACUGCCAAUGUAAUCCCAACUUGGACGUUCCUAAC